AUUGAUGGUGCUUGCACCUGAUUGACGAUGGAUCACCAGUGAGUGGCGGACGGGUGAGUAACACGUAGGUAACCUGCCCCGGAGCGGGGGAUAACAUUUGGAAACAGAUGCUAAUACCGCAUAACAACAAAAGCCACAUGGCUUUUGUUUGAAAGAUGGCUUUGGCUAUCACUCUGGGAUGGACCUGCGGUGCAUUAGCUAGUUGGUAAGGUAACGGCUUACCAAGGCGAUGAUGCAUAGCCGAGUUGAGAGACUGAUCGGCCACAAUGGAACUGAGACACGGUCCAUACUCCUACGGGAGGCAGCAGUAGGGAAUCUUCCACAAUGGGCGCAAGCCUGAUGGAGCAACACCGCGUGAGUGAAGAAGGGUUUCGGCUCGUAAAGCUCUGUUGUUGGAGAAGAACGUGCGUGAGAGUAACUGUUCACGCAGUGACGGUAUCCAACCAGAAAGUCACGGCUAACUACGUGCCAGCAGCCGCGGUAAUACGUAGGUGGCAAGCGUUAUCCGGAUUUAUUGGGCGUAAAGCGAGCGCAGGCGGUUGCUUAGGUCUGAUGUGAAAGCCUUCGGCUUAACCGAAGAAGUGCAUCGGAAACCGGGCAACUUGAGUGCAGAAGAGGACAGUGGAACUCCAUGUGUAGCGGUGGAAUGCGUAGAUAUAUGGAAGAACACCAGUGGCGAAGGCGGCUGUCUGGUCUGCAACUGACGCUGAGGCUCGAAAAGCAUGGGUAGCGAA
RNAcentral lists this ribosomal RNA (734 nucleotides) under uncultured bacterium. RNAcentral describes it as "bacterial SSU rRNA". It matches the Rfam family "Bacterial small subunit ribosomal RNA", at positions 66 to 772 of the family's 1533-position model. The record is from RNAcentral.